GUUUUUAAGAGUUAUCUGGAUGAAUUUGGGGUUCCAUAACUUGCCCAAUGUAACCUUAUCCAAGAUAACAGUGGAAUCAUUUGUGUAUUUGUCAUCUCUCCUGCUAAAUUAUAAGUCCCUUGUGACCUGGGACUUAUUUUAUUAUCUGAUUGUCUAGCAUUGUGAAUUGUACAUAAAAGGUGCUCAAUAAAUGCCUACUUAUUGAGUGAAUGAAUGAAUGAAUUCUAAUUUAGUCUCCACUGCUACCAUUGCCACUUGAUUACUGUUCCUAAGCAAAUACUAAAACCCUGAGGAAUGUUUUAUGGGAAUCAUUGUAGAUGUGGAAAUCCACAUAGCUGCAUGAUGUGUCUGGCUUCAGAGUGUCCCUGCUGCAAUAUCACAGCAUGUCUUGGACCUCAUUGUGAUGAAGCACUUGGAGCAGUUAAAGCUGCACCUCCGUUGUGCAAACAGACAGUUUCAUUAAGCAUCCAGGCUGAAAAAUGCAGGUGCACUCGCCAGACUUUGCAGAACAAGGAAUGCAGGUUUCAAAUAUCUAUUAAUCACCCAGCUUACAAAAAAGAGAAUCUUCCAGAUUGUUUCUGGCAGUAUCAAUUGUACUCAUAUGAAUCACCAGAAGUGUGAAGUACUCAUCAGGUUUGACAAGUCUUUGGAGAUUCUCCAUCUCCCCUGGAUACAGGCAUGGGAAAGGCAGCUGAUCUCUCAGCUACUUUGCUUUCUCUGUGCUGAGCUUCAUCAAUCAUCACUCUUCAAUUCUUCUGCUGAUGAUGAUUACUGGGUGGUACUCUUCAUCUCUUCUUCUACUGAUUGUUAUUGGGUAAUGUUCUACCUAAUGACAUCUGUGAAGCCACAUCAUCAUUCCUUGAAAGAUAAGCAACAAUUUCCUCCUCAAAUCAUCUCCUCUUCUUUAUGAGACCAUUAAAAAAAAAACACAGACUCAAGGAGCCUCUUGCUCAGUGAAUAUGGAAGAACAAUGGCUAAGAGAGCAUUUAAAAUUUUUUUGUUCCUGUAUAUUGUGUGUGCCUCUUCCUCAAGCCUUUAGGUUUUACUCCCUCAGUAUGAAUGUUAACAGUUUUUUGCAGCUAACUUCAUUUCUGCUUCCUAUUCAAGACAAAAUACAAUCUCUUUUAAUUCCCAUGUACAUGUCCAUCAGCUGAACAGAAUCUAUAGGCCUUAUCCGAGAGUUAUUAGAGAGAAGAAUCUGUAAUAAACCAUGGUUUACAGGGAAAACA
This 1229-nucleotide long non-coding RNA is filed under the name Monodelphis domestica (gray short-tailed opossum). Its description in RNAcentral is "lncRNA (ENSMODG00000051225.1)". The record is from RNAcentral. Lineage: Eukaryota; Metazoa; Chordata; Mammalia; Didelphimorphia; Didelphidae.